UUCCGUGGGGUACCUGCGGAGGGAUCAUUACCGAGUUUACAACUCCCAAACCCCUGUGAACAUACCUUAAUGUUGCCUCGGCGGAUCAGCCCGCGCCCUGUAAAACGGGACGGCCCGCCAGAGGACCCAAACUCUAAUGUUUCUUAUUGUAACUUCUGAGUAAAACAAACAAAUAAAUCAAAACUUUCAACAACGGAUCUCUUGGUUCUGGCAUCGAUGAAGAACGCAGCAAAAUGCGAUAAGUAAUGUGAAUUGCAGAAUUCAGUGAAUCAUCGAAUCUUUGAACGCACAUUGCGCCCGCUGGUAUUCCGGCGGGCAUGCCUGUUCGAGCGUCAUUUCAACCCUCAAGCCCCCGGGUUUGGUGUUGGGGAUCGGCUCUGCCUUACGGCGGUGCCGCCCCCGAAAUACAUUGGCGGUCUCGCUGCAGCCUCCAUUGCGUAGUAGCUAACACCUCGCAACUGGAACGCGGCGCGGCCAUGCCGUAAAACCCCAACUUCUGAAUGUUGACCUCGGAUCAGGUAGGAAUACCCGCUGAACUUAAGCAUAUCAAUAAGCGGAGGAA
This 562-nucleotide ribosomal RNA is filed under the name Fusarium sp. FF30. Its description in RNAcentral is "eukaryotic LSU rRNA". The stretch from base 182 to 335 matches the Rfam family "5.8S ribosomal RNA". The record is from RNAcentral. Lineage: Eukaryota; Fungi; Ascomycota; Sordariomycetes; Hypocreales; Nectriaceae.